ACCAGGUGGAGACCAGAAGCCACAUCUAAACGGGGCGAUUCCGAAAAGCCAGACGAGUAGGUUUACC
Molecule: regulatory RNA element, 67 nt
Organism: Rufibacter tibetensis
Lineage: Bacteria; Pseudomonadati; Bacteroidota; Cytophagia; Cytophagales; Hymenobacteraceae
Rfam family: DUF805 RNA
Source: Rfam